RNAcentral lists this ribosomal RNA (959 nucleotides) under uncultured Neocallimastigales. RNAcentral describes it as "partial large subunit ribosomal RNA". The stretch from base 164 to 959 matches the Rfam family "Eukaryotic large subunit ribosomal RNA", at positions 1 to 643 of the family's 3401-position model. Lineage: Eukaryota; Fungi; Neocallimastigomycota; Neocallimastigomycetes; Neocallimastigales. The record is from RNAcentral.
UAUGUGAUCGUCUCUCGCAUAUCAAUAAGCGGAGGAAAAGCUGUUACCUACGCUUAGGAUGUUGACACACGCGCGUGCUCGACUCUAUACAUGACUCUGUGCAUAUCAAUAAGCGGAGGAAAAGGCUGCGGAACUGAACGACCGCUACCUACGCUUAGGAUGUUGACACACGCGCGUGCUCGACUCUAUACAUGACUCUGUGCAUAUCAAUAAGCGGAGGAAAAGAAACUAACAAGGAUUCCCCUAGUAACGGCGAGUGAAGCGGGAAGAGCUCAAAUUUGAAAUCUUAAAGGGUUUCCCUUUACGAAUUGUAGUUUAAAGAAGUGUUUUCUGUUGAGGUUUUGGUAAAAGUUCUUUGGAAUAGGACAUCAUAGAGGGUGAGAAUCCCGUAUUUGACCUUUACCUUCAACUUUGUGAUACACUUUCAAAGAGUCGGAUUGUUUGGGAAUGCAGUCCAAAAUGGGUGGUAAAUUUCAUCUAAAGCUAAAUAUUGGCGAGAGACCGAUAGCGAACAAGUACCGUGAGGGAAAGAUGAAAAGAACUUUGAAAAGAGAGUUAAACAGUACGUGAAAUUGUCAAAAGGGAAGCGUUUGACACCAGUGUUGUUUUUCUGAAAAUCAAUUAAAGAACUGUUUAUGCUAAGCUGUUUAGACUUUAUCAGCUAUCUGUUUAGUUUUGAGCUUUUCUUUAAUGCACUUUUCAGUUAACAAGUCAACAUCAAUUUCUUUUGCUGUAAAAAAGCUUGAGGAAGGUGGCUUGAGAUUCGUCUUAAGUGUUUAUAGCCUCUUGCCUAUGCAGUCGGAGAGAUUGAGGUCUGCAGCGUAGAUCCUUCGGGGCUAAAUGCAUUUGUGCUAAGUUAUAACAUUUUAUAGACAACUUGUUGACUAUGAUUUGUCUUGUAGCUUACUCGCUUAUGUUAUUUUACCUACGCUUAGGAUGUUGACACACGCGCGUGCUCG